CCGUGCUAGGCGGGGAGGUAGCGGUGCCCUGUCACCCGCAAUCCGCUCUAGCGGGGCUGAGCUGAACGCCCGUCCGAGGGUCGCGGCCUUCGGGGUCAGUACGUUGCGGACGGCGCUGACGGCCAGGUCCCGCGCAAUGCGCGCCCGCGAACCAGGUCAGAUCCGGAAGGAAGCAGCCUUAAGCGGUAGCGAGCAUGUGCCGCGGACCAGCCUGGCCCGAGCCAACUGCGGCGCAAGCGCCCGGGGACCGCUCUCGAGGGCGGGCCGCACGG
RNAcentral lists this signal recognition particle RNA (272 nucleotides) under Actinomycetes bacterium. RNAcentral's name for it is "Actinobacteria bacterium signal recognition particle sRNA large type". It matches the Rfam family "Bacterial large signal recognition particle RNA". From Rfam's summary of the family: The signal recognition particle (SRP) is a universally conserved ribonucleoprotein involved in the co-translational targeting of proteins to membranes. Archaeal SRP consists of a 7S RNA and homologues of the eukaryotic SRP19 and SRP54 proteins. Lineage: Bacteria; Bacillati; Actinomycetota; Actinomycetes. The record is from RNAcentral.